UACAGAGGGUGCAAGCGUUAAUCGGAAUUACUGGGCGUAAAGCGCGCGUAGGCGGCUUGACAAGUCGAGUGUGAAAUCCCCGGGCUUAACCUGGGACCUGCAUUCGAAACUGUCUUGCUAGAGUAUGGGAGAGGGAAGUGGAAUUUCAGGUGUAGCGGUGAAAUGCGUAGAUAUCUGAAGGAACAUCAGUGGCGAAAGCGGCUCUCUGGACCAGCACUGACACUGAGGCACGAAAGCGUGGGGAGCAAACAGG
This 253-nucleotide ribosomal RNA is filed under the name uncultured bacterium. RNAcentral describes it as "partial 16S ribosomal RNA". It matches the Rfam family "Bacterial small subunit ribosomal RNA", at positions 524 to 776 of the family's 1533-position model. The record is from RNAcentral.